GACGAACGCUGGCGGCGUGCUUAACACAUGCAAGUCGAACGGAAAGGCCCUGCUUUUGUGGGGUGCUCGAGUGGCGAACGGGUGAGUAACACGUGAGUAACCUGCCCUUGACUUUGGGAUAACUUCAGGAAACUGGGGCUAAUACCGGAUAGGAGCUCCUGCUGCAUGGUGGGGGUUGGAAAGUUUCGGCGGUUGGGGCUGGACUCGCGGCUUAUCAGCUUGUUGGUGGGGUAGUGGCUUACCAAGGCUUUGACGGGUAGCCGGCCUGAGAGGGUGACCGGCCACAUUGGGACUGAGAUACGGCCCAGACUCCUACGGGAGGCAGCAGUGGGGAAUAUUGCACAAUGGGCGGAAGCCUGAUGCAGCAACGCCGCGUGCGGGAUGACGUCCUUCGGGUUGUAAACCGCUUUCGCCUGUGACGAAGCGUGAGUGACGGUAAUGGGUAAAGAAGCACCGGCUAACUACGUG
This 468-nucleotide ribosomal RNA is filed under the name uncultured bacterium. RNAcentral's name for it is "partial 16S ribosomal RNA". It matches the Rfam family "Bacterial small subunit ribosomal RNA", at positions 28 to 507 of the family's 1533-position model. The record is from RNAcentral.